RNAcentral lists this long non-coding RNA (4432 nucleotides) under Heterocephalus glaber (naked mole-rat). RNAcentral's name for it is "lncRNA (ENSHGLG00000049199.1)". Lineage: Eukaryota; Metazoa; Chordata; Mammalia; Rodentia; Bathyergidae. The record is from RNAcentral.
ACAGCAGGCGCCUCCUGCGGGACUCCGGGACGGUGCUGGGCGGGUCGGCGGCGGAGCCCGGGGGCAGCAGAGCCCGCUGCCCGCCGUCUGCCGGGAGCGCGGCCGCCCGCCCCGGGUCCCCGCAGCAGCCUCGGUGCCCCGAGUGCGUCGGCACCGCCCGCCCGGCCUUGGCGCGGCCGCGGUGACUCGGGCCCGGCUCUAGCUGCCCGUCCCCCUCGACUGUCGGCUCCGUGUGUCUGCUGAUUUGGCUGCAUCUGUCCUGCAUAUUUAUGGUCGCCUGUCACUGUCACAUUCCCUGGCCGUUGACAGUUUCCAAAGCACUUGGGCCAGAAGAAACUCGGGAUUUGGGGAGUUCAUAACAGGUGGAGGCGCUGAAGGGAGGCGACCCGCCCGGGACUCAGCCCGACGAGGCGGGAGCUCUAGGAGUUGCUGGAGACUCUGUCGGGAACAGUGUUGGGAGGUGGCCCGUGGCUGCCAGGGUGUCCUUGCUGUCAACUGCUGGACUCGGAGCGGGACCUGUGCCCCGCCCCGAGCACAGUGUGGAGGCCGCUCGCUUAAGGGUCCUGCAAGUGAAGGUGCUGGGGCUGGGGGACUUUAGUCACCCGCUUCUCACGUGAUUGCUGCGCCCUCCAGCUAGGCGGACAGUGACUCCUCUUUCUCCAGAGCCAACUUUGGAUCUUUCUCACCUGUGCUUUUGUAACCUUUUGAUUAGCAAAAGCAAGACGAAUUGUUCCCGGAACACUUAAGCUGCCUGGAAACUUACUUACAAGAAAAAUCGAGCGUUAAUUCAUCAGGGACAUCCUGAGGGUUUUGCUGUCGGGCCAGUUAACUGAUUGCAAAUUCUCCCCAAGUUUAAAACUAGGUGAGCUGCUUUGGGGAGCAGCCUGAGAUCAGGGCUCGGUGGUCUGACAGCUGAGCAGGAGGCCCGGGUAAGGGAUCAUGGUGGACUUACAAAGCCUGGCAGGUAGGAGCUGACUUUCACCUUGGCGGGGACAGGAGGAACCAAUCACUGCAGCCUUUGGAACCUCCUCAUCCUCAGUGAAACAGGACAGCUCACAGGAUUGCGUUCCUAAAGUUUAUUCCUAAGACCAUUCCCCAUAAAGUUCUGUUUGGGUCAGGUUGUUUGGGGUUAAAACUGAGCCUUACUGAACCAAUUAAAAACAUGCCGGAGUCAAAUUACAUAAAUCAUUUUGAAAAUUAAGAUACUGACAACCCUAUGGUCUCUAAAGGUUCUUUCCUGCUCAAUUUAUAUUACUCUUCUAUCUUUAGUGUAAAAUCAUCUUCAUCCUAUUAUGUACUGAUUAUCAAGAAGAAAGUGUUCUUUUAUUGCUUGUUGAUGUCAGUUUCUCUUUUAUUGGCUUGUUGCUCCUUCCUUUAAGUCAUGGGCUGGAAGGGACAGAAUCUCAUUUCCUCCACUAAAGCAGCCACUUGUACUAACGGGUUUUUCUCAUUCUGUAUGUCAGGCCUAGGGAAAGACAUUGUGUUUUAAAGGCUAUGGCUUUUUUUUUUUUUUUUUCAAAUAAUCAGCAAGGCAAGGAGAGAAGUAACCAUGCUCAGCCUAGGGACUGUAAGUGUUCUGAUAAGUAAGAGGAACAAGGUAGAAACAUGGGAAAGUUGAAGGGUUUGUAGCUGCUCUUCAAUUAGAUCGUUUCACCAGAACUGCAUUAUUUCACCUGAUGUGUUGUGAAACUGCACAAUCUCAAACCCACCCUGAAGUCAUCAACUACUAAGAUAUGUUUUUGUUUUGGGUUUUUUUUGGUACCUGGGAUCGAACUCGGGACCUUGUGCUUGCAAGGCAGGUGCCGGAACCACUGAGCUAAAUCCCUGCCCCUAAGAUGUAUUUUUAAAACAAACACGAAUAUAAUUUUUUCUGUUGACGCUGUCCACCUGUGUAAAUAAUGAUAGUUACAUAUUUAGUUUGUUUACAGAAAAUUGAUUUUCUUAAGUUACUACAACCUAUUGUACUUACUCAAGGUUCAGGAAAAGAUACUUUCAAAUAUGUGUUCUGAAUCUUCAAAAUAUUAAGUUAUGGCUGAGGCAAGAAGAUUACAAGUUUGAGGACAGCCUAGGCAACGUAGACCCUGUCUCAAAAAAAAGACAGAAAAAUCAGCAAAUCUCAGCGGAAGGUAAAUAACAGCUAAAAUAUUAUAUCUUUAUAUCAAUUAUUAAAAGAUGUAGGCUUAGAUUUGUAGCACCGUCAUUAAAAAUAAUAGGAGUGUUUUAAAAAUAUAGUAACCCUAUUUAUGAAAAUUCAAAUAGUAUUCUAUAAUAAUUUUAUCUUAAUUAUAAGAUAAGAACUAGAUUUUGAUGAUAACAAGCUCUGGAAAUUCAACUUUAAGGUAAUUCUGCAAGCAACAAGCAUAUCAUUGUACUACUGAUUAGAAAAAGAAAUACUCCAUUGGUGGAAAAUAAUUUUAAUAGAUGAAAGUGAUGAAUAUUGGAUGUGAGUUUAGAAUUGGGAAGUUGAGAAGUCUUGUGGUUAUUAUAGCCACUAUGUGGCUACUGUGUCUUGAAGAUUGCAAAACAAAAUAACAUUUUUAAAAAGAAUGGAAAGUUGAUGAAUAGUAUGCAUAGUUUUUAAGAAUAAAUUGAACAACUUCAUAUUUUGUUACUCAAAAAUCUAACAAUUAUGGUUGUGUGGACCAAAGUACCUUCAUCUAUUGCUUAUGAACCAGAGAUUCAGAGCAUCAGAUAACUACCCUUACAGAGCAUAUAAACGUCUACUGCUUAACGCCUAACCCAAAUCAUUAUGGUCCACCAUUUCAUAAAAUGAUGUUUUAAAAUUAGUGUUGUUUUUCAGUUUGCACAUAUUCUUUCCUUUCAGGAAUAGCACAGCAUGAUGCAAAGAACCCUGGUCUUGUAGUUUCAGUCCUUGGGGAAGAUACUGUCUUGGCCGCAUACUUAACUGUGUGACUCUGGAAAGAUAUUCACUCUGGCCAUCAGACCCUUCAUUGGUAAAUAAUGCAAUGUCUCUUCCAUAACCAGAGUUAGAAAAAAUACUGUUUCCUUUCUUCUUUCCCUUUUAUGGUAACUUUGAAUGCUUCCUUUUGUUUAGACUGAAGUUUUCAUUUUUCAAUUAUAAAGCAACUUAUUUCUUAACUGCAUUUCUGGUGUAUUCACCCCCCAAAUGUUUGAAAUUAGUUUCCUACAUUUUUCCUGAGUACUGUAAUUAAAACAUCAAAUGCUUUAAUGAAAGAGCUGUGAGUCAUGAAAACACCUAGAUUCUCUUUGACUCUCCAACUAAAAAGUCUUUGAACACAUGAGCUCAAGUGAUCUCUUUCUCUUUCAUUUUCCCAAAAUGAGCAUUGGAUUAGACUCUAGUGGCCACUUCUAGCUCCAGAAGUUUAUGCUCAUCUAUUCAAACUCCUUUUUAGAUUCUCAAACUCCUGGAUUAAGAACAGCUGUAUAGGCCUGUUCUAUCAAGAUUUGAAGGAAAGCAUGAAAUCCUUAAUUAGAGAGCUCUUUUGUAAUUAGUUCUAAAAUUUGAGUGCAGAGAAUUGAAAUGCUGUCACUGUAUUGACAACCCAUCAGAAGCAUGUAAGUCUCUAUGCAGCUUCUUUAUGGUCUGUGCAUUGGCUCUUUAUCCUUUGGCCUGAAGGAUUUUCACUCACCUGGUCUCCAAAGCUCCAGCUUUCACCUCAGGCCUCAGGGUUUCUGCAUUGUGAGUAAGUUUCCCUGUUUGUACCAAUGCAUGCCUUUGUCUAAGAACAUUGCCUGAAGGUGACAGUAAACAGCACUGGAAAUAGUAUUUGAGAUGCUUACUGUAAUACAGUCCAUUUUGGUCAUAUAGUUGCAGACACUGAAUAGAGUACAGUUUUGUUUAUAUCUGUAUUUCUUAAUUGAAAAUGUAUUUUGGCAGUCCAUGAUGUCUGUUUUCUGAACCAUAAAAGCCACAUGUCUAAUUCAUAAACUAUAGUCCUGAAUUUAAUUUACUCACCAUUUUAUCUUCAAGGAGAAAAAUACGAUUUGAGGUUUUAAAUAAAUGUGAAAUGCUUUGCCACAGAGAUUCUAAAGAAAUAAAAUACACUGCUGGGCCCAGCACAAGCCUUCACACUGAAUUUGUAUUUCUGAAGGACACCGGCUCAGCUUAUUUCACAGAUUGAAUAAAGUGCCUUUGGUUCUAAUGUACCUGUUACAAUUUAACUAAAAUAGUCAUGAGCAAAGUCUUAUUUCUAAAAGCAUUUCUCUGGCAUGAGACUAUGUGACUGAAACCAUUAUAAGUAGAAUUUACAGAAAAUUAUACUUUGUUCAAAGGAAUGUUUUAUAAAGAUAUUUUGAGUGCCUAAAGGUGAGUUCUGUUUAUAUAAGAAGAAUGUGUGGUCAUAAAUCCAUGCUGUGCUGGCUAAUAGGACAUUUUUUUUCAUAAUCAGAUACAUGUUUAUUUUAUAUUGGAUUUUAAACUUCUGGAAAAUUCCAAAAUCCAAAUGAAAAG